GCUACGUCGGAAAUCAAACCAAAUACUGUAGUUUUUUUUUAUUAAAUUACAUGGUACAAAUGAUUUCACGCGAAGGAAUUACAUCUAGUCUAAAGCUGAUUAUCUAUGCGGAUAAUUUUAUAAUUUAAUUUCCAUCAUAUAAAAAUAUUCUAUAUAUUGUAUAUGAAACAACGACGAGUAGAGGUUGCAAAAGAGAUGCUUACCGACGACGCUGAGGAUCCUAUUACUAUUGACGAAUCAUGGGUUUAUCGAAAUUGUCCAACAAUCUAGCUAAUGGCGCUCCAAAACUGAGCCGAAAAUGAAAAAGCUGAGUCUCGCCGAAGGCACUGAAAACCAUUCCAGCCGAGGCUUAUAACAAGUGUAUUGAAAAUUGGAUUAAGCGUUGGCAUGCUUAUAUCAACUCAGGACCCAUUUUUCAAGGCAAUAAUAAAGAGUUGUAUUAAAAUA
Molecule: non-coding RNA, 447 nt
Organism: Bactrocera oleae (olive fruit fly)
Lineage: Eukaryota; Metazoa; Arthropoda; Insecta; Diptera; Tephritidae
Source: RefSeq, a predicted model, not a curated record